GAUGAACGCUGGCGGCGUGCCUAAUACAUGCAAGUCGAGCGAACGGACGAGAAGCUUGCUUCUCUGAUGUUAGCGGCGGACGGGUGAGUAACACGUGGAUAACCUACCUAUAAGACUGGGAUAACUUCGGGAAACCGGAGCUAAUACCGGAUAAUAUUUUGAACCGCAUGGUUCAAAAGUGAAAGACGGUCUUGCUGUCACUUAUAGAUGGAUCCGCGCUGCAUUAGCUAGUUGGUAAGGUAACGGCUUACCAAGGCAACGAUGCAUAGCCGACCUGAGAGGGUGAUCGGCCACACUGGAACUGAGACUCGGUCCAGACUCCUACGGGAGGCAGCAGUAGGGAAUCUUCCGCAAUCGGCGAAAGCCUGACGGAGCAACGCCGCGUGAGUGAUGGAGGUCUUCGGAUCGUAAAACUCUGUUAUUAGGGAAGAACAUAUGUGUAAGUAACUGUGCACAUCUUGACGGUACCGAAUCAGAAAGCCACGGCUAACUACGUG
Molecule: ribosomal RNA, 497 nt
Filed under: uncultured bacterium
Lineage: Bacteria
Description: partial 16S ribosomal RNA
Rfam family: Bacterial small subunit ribosomal RNA
Source: RNAcentral